GUGAAGUCUCCCAUGUACUCCAUAUUCUGCGCCAUGACUUCUUUCUCCUCGUAUGUAUUCUGCUCUGUAUCGGCAGAUUCAGAGCUUGCGGCUUCAGAGUGCGCCUCAGAAUCAGAGUCAGAGUAUAACACGUCUGCUCUGGUAUGUGUUCGAGUGUUAUCCAGCGGGGAAGUUAGUUUUCUUUUUAGACUACGGCGUCCCUGCAUAAACAACACUUAACACACGGAUUAAACGCACCGGGUGGAAGAAACAGAUAAAAACGAAAAUAACAGAAAUUUAAAUAAAGCUAGUAAAAAAAACGACACAACUAAAACGCCUAAAACUUUCCCCGGCAACGGCGCCAAAAUUUGACUCAACCUAAACACCUCUAGAUUGACUUGCAAUAGUACAAGGACAUCCUAGCAGUGGUAAGCUAACCCAAGUCGA
RNAcentral lists this long non-coding RNA (426 nucleotides) under Salvia miltiorrhiza (redroot sage). Its description in RNAcentral is "long non-coding RNA (SMIL_LNC002606)". Lineage: Eukaryota; Viridiplantae; Streptophyta; Magnoliopsida; Lamiales; Lamiaceae. The record is from RNAcentral.